UGACAUUUGAAAAGGAUAAUGUUUUGAUUAUUUAGAAAAGAAAACCUGUGGCCUUAGGUACGGUACGAUCAAACGAAAACCAUUCUAAUCCUUCCAUAUGCGUCUGCAAAUUCCCCCUCGAUAGUGCAGUUCUUGGCAAUAUGUUGUAACACAAUUAGGAAAACAACGGAAAGUAUAACAAAAAAUUAUGACAUCGUUUUUAUAAGAAAAUUUUAUCAUUAGGAGUAAAAUGGCGCUAAUUCUGGCCAUUUGAACACUAGUUGCGUAAACGAAGUUAUAUUAUUGAAUGUUCAAGGAAAUGAAUCUUCAUCAUCGUCUGCCAUUUCCUUUGCGAGUUCAAGAUCUUGUUUUUCACGCUCUCUCUGCUCCU
Paramuricea clavata is the source of this 370-nucleotide non-coding RNA. The record is from the annotation of a GenBank genome assembly. NCBI's taxonomy places the organism in Eukaryota, Metazoa, Cnidaria, Anthozoa, Malacalcyonacea, Plexauridae.